This 77-nucleotide transfer RNA is filed under the name Deltaproteobacteria bacterium. Its description in RNAcentral is "tRNA-Pro". It matches the Rfam family "tRNA". Rfam says of the family: Transfer RNA (tRNA) molecules are approximately 80 nucleotides in length. Their secondary structure includes four short double-helical elements and three loops (D, anti-codon, and T loops). Further hydrogen bonds mediate the characteristic L-shaped molecular structure. tRNAs have two regions of fundamental functional importance: the anti-codon, which is responsible for specific mRNA codon recognition, and the 3' end, to which the tRNAs corresponding amino acid is attached (by aminoacyl-tRNA synthetases). tRNAs cope with the degeneracy of the genetic code in two manners: having more than one tRNA (with a specific anti-codon) for a particular amino acid; and 'wobble' base-pairing, i.e. permitting non-standard base-pairing at the 3rd anti-codon position. The record is from RNAcentral. Lineage: Bacteria; Pseudomonadati; Myxococcota; Myxococcia.
CGGGGUGUAGCUCAGUCUGGUAGAGCACCGUCUUCGGGAGGCGGGAGUCGCUGGUUCAAGUCCAGUCACCCCGACCA